CCCAUGUAUCUCCUAGACAUGGAGAGAGAGCACGGGAGGGAAGGAGGAAGGAAGAGGCAGGCGUGGCCGUGGUUGGUUCUCCGGCGGCGCUGGAUCGGUGCAUGGGCGCAGAGCUCCUGCUCAGGGCGCGAAGAUCUAGGGAGGGACUCGGGUGCGAGGCUGCGGGUCUAUGCAGAGAUGGCACUGCUCCUUCAACUUUUGAAGAAUGCGCUGAGACAUCAGCUAGAUCCGCAGAUUUUGACAGGUUUGGGUCCAUCUAUAACAUGCUUGACCGGGCGAUCACGUGGCUACCGAGCACUCUUAUUUUCUGGUCAUAAGCUCUUACUAAGAUGUUGUCGGUCGGGUGUCCUCUACUACUGAAGUUUUACCACGAUCUGGUGGUGCUUGAGAGCAGAGACGACAUACUUUCAUCAGCAGUGGCCAAACCCCCACCGCCGCCGGUGCUGUACACCCCUGUACCCCUUGACAUCCAGUGCCUCGCGUCUGCCCAACAUGAAAACCUCCUCAAUAGGAUAGUGCCCUUUAUGUGCAUGAACUAAUGGGUGUGUUCACAACAUAGAGCAGCUUCUCCAUCCAGUCUCAUGUCUUUCUCUUUAGCAGGGAUCAGUGAGUACUACCGAGCAAAAAAGUCCUUCUCUUCGUCAUAUUUCUUCCUUUUCUUUACUACUUUUGUGGCUCCAAAUCUCAUGAUGGCUCUAUGUCUGUUCUUUUUGUUGACAUGGAUUUUACCCUGAAAGUUUUUCUUCUGAUCUACAAUGUUCUGCCAUCUAAAUUUUUCUGUAUAUUAUGAAUGAGUAGACAGUGGUGCAGAAGCCGAAUUGGAUGAAAUUACGGACUAUAGAGAGGUAUAAUUAUUAAUUAAUUCAUUUCUUUAAAAGAUAUGCAGCUAGCAGAGUUUCUUACUUUUAUGAUUUGGAUUAUGACCGAAUUGAAGAACUUAUGUGGACAGCCCGGCAGGUUUCAGUGGCAAGACUUUUGUACAAUUACAGUGGCAGAUUUCAGAAAUUUGUAGAGCACAUGAUUUACAAGAACAAGAUAUUCUGUCAAGCCAUGGAUAUCAACAAUCAGUCAAGCAAAGAAAUAUUCAUGGGAGAUAUACAGGGAUCCACAAGAAUGUGCACCGUGUAGCACUACCCUUUUGUCAUUGAGCCACUAUCACAUUUUGGCCAGCAAUCAGUUCAAGCAGUUCUCGGCGCCUUUAGUCAGAAGCUGGAAUUUACAACUAAACGAACAUCAAGCAACAGAAGAAAGGGUGGUCAUCUCUUUUUCUUGGCACCAAGAUGUCAUACAAGCAUUGAGACAUCGGAAACACAUAAGAAGUUUGUGUAUAAAUGAUUAGCCUUUUAGAAGUAUAUGGCGUUGCUUAAACUAUGUUUCUUUUGGCAACACCAUAUGAAAUGGAGAAAGUUUUAGGUUUAGGAUAAAAUUGUUCUAGAUUUUGAGAAAAUUGUUACAGAUCCAUGAGAAAAAUGUCCCAACUUUAGGAAAUUAACUAUCCAUAUUUUCGGUUAUUGGUUAAUAAGUUGGCCACAAUAGUUUUUUUA
Triticum dicoccoides is the source of this 1544-nucleotide long non-coding RNA. RefSeq lists it as uncharacterized. The transcript is spliced from 5 exons. The record is from RefSeq and is a predicted model, not a curated record. Lineage: Eukaryota; Viridiplantae; Streptophyta; Magnoliopsida; Poales; Poaceae.